RNAcentral lists this ribosomal RNA (224 nucleotides) under Fischerella sp. RNAcentral's name for it is "partial 23S ribosomal RNA". It matches the Rfam family "Bacterial large subunit ribosomal RNA", at positions 2704 to 2925 of the family's 2925-position model. Lineage: Bacteria; Bacillati; Cyanobacteriota; Cyanophyceae; Nostocales; Hapalosiphonaceae. The record is from RNAcentral.
UACCGCUGGUGUACCAGUUAUUCCGCCAGGAGUAGACGCUGGGUAGCCAAGUACGGAGUGGAUAACCGCUGAAAGCAUCUAAGUGGGAAGCCCACCUCAAGAUGAGUACUCUCACUACUACAAGUAGGUAAGGUCACAGGUAGAUUACCUGUUGAUAGGCGGUAGGUACAAGUGCAGUAAUGCAUGCAGCCGAGCCGUGCUAACAGACCGAGGGCUUGACCUCU